This 253-nucleotide ribosomal RNA is filed under the name uncultured bacterium. RNAcentral describes it as "partial 16S ribosomal RNA". It matches the Rfam family "Archaeal small subunit ribosomal RNA", at positions 474 to 727 of the family's 1478-position model. The record is from RNAcentral.
UACCCGCAGCACAAGUGGUGGUCAUUAUUAUUGGGCCUAAAGCGUCCGUAGCUGGCCUGUUAGAUGCCUGGGUAAAUCGAUGCGCUCAACGUAUCGAACUCCGGGUAGACCGGCAGGCUUGGGACCGGGAGAGAUGUGAGCUACUCGAGGGGUAGGGGUAAAAUCCUGUAAUCCUUCGGGGAGGACCAGUGGCGAAGGCGUCACAUUAGAACGGCUCCGAUAGUGAGGGACGAAGCCCUGGGGCGCAAACCGG